GCAAAAGUGAAAAUAUCUGCUGUGUGACUGCCGUGAUGCUGAAUGCAGUGCUUGUGUGGGGUGAAAGACUGUUUUCACACUUGUGCAUUGUCAGGUCCUAAACCCUUAAUUCAUUUUGAUUAGCCACUGUGAGGGAUUUGCCACAGCAUUUUCUGAAUGAGAAGGCAGACACUAUUAUUGGGUCAUGUUCUACCCCUUGUAAUAUUUAUUUCAGCACUUUGUUCAACUGAGAGAAAUGAUAUGCCUUGCUUUGUGCCAGGGGUUAUGCCAAAUCCUUCAUUCAAACUGUUUUUAAUGCAAGAGCCUUUGGCAGUAAUGUUAACUUUUCAGAAAAUUCAGAUCUCUAGCAGUUACCCUAGUAAGCUCCAGGGUUUGUGGUCUCUCCUGUGGCACUGUGGGGAUGGUGCUGGCUCCAGCCUCUGAAGGAUGUCAUGAGCUGUGAGGGGACCCCAUGUACAGGAGGAGAGGAACUCUGAAGUUGUUGCUGUUCUGUAGUAAAGUUCUGAAGACACACAGGAAGAGCUUACAGGCAUACUCUUACUUCGGGCGCAGACUCCAGAACAUCUACCAUUAGCUAAACUGAGUGGAGAAAGGAGGCUAUUUGGACAGAGUUAUCUGGACCUUAGUUAAGGUGGGUGACUAUUUGAUAUACCUAGCUCUUUCCAUAGACUACAUGAGAGGACUGAGUCCUAAUGUGCAUACAUCCCUUAAAUAUUUGAAGUAAAGUAAGCCAAGGACUCUGGUCUAACUCUGUUACAGCCUGUGUGCAUAUCUCUCUAUUCUCUCCGUAGUCAUACCCUGAUUCUCCUUAAGUAGUAUUUCUUCAUAGAGUACAAUGUAUGUAGAAUCAUUCUCUGCAUAUGCAGCAGUGGCUUAAUUGUAAAAAAAAAUCAAAAUUAAGGACAUAAAGGAAAGAUAUUCAGGGAAAAAAGUCAUCAGAAGGAAGAUGGGACUGAUACCAUGAUGUUCUACUUUACAUCUUUCCUACAUCAGUAGCAAGUAAAAUCUACGGUGUAUCUGUGCAAGGUUUGAAACAAAUGUUUAUGACACUAAAAUGUUUAUGACACUGUUUUAUGACUUCAUCUUCUUGAAAAUUUCUUCACUUCUUUUAUCAUGAGGACAGCUGUCACUGCUGAUUUCAACAACAGCUUGUUGGGUCACUUCAGUGUAUCUAAGGUCUGCAAAAAUGCCAUACAUCAAAAGUAGCUUCCAUUUUUAAUUUAUUUAUUUGCUUAUUUGUAUUUUCAGUACAAGUGUAUACACACUUUCCAGUCUUUGUAUUUACAGAUUACUCUUCCUUCAAUCUCAACAUUUCAGAAAAAUAUUUCUCUUAAUUUCUCUCUGUAUGAGGUAGUAUGCAUGCAUACAGGUGGUGUUAAAAAAGAGUUGUGUGUUUAUCAAUUUUGUCCAUUUCAGGCACAUUUUUUUGUUUGGCACAUAUCAUUGUCAUUAUAGACUUUACUUUUGAUGAAGUUAUUUACCUCACCUGGGGCUGUUGUUUAUGUGGUUUUGGGUUUUUUUUGUUCUGUUCGUUUGAUUUGUUUGGGUUUUUUUUCAAUGACCUGUUGGGUACAGCUAAGAGUAUGCAUUUUGACUUCAUUUGGUGUGUAUAUCUGUACACAGGUAAAUAAGAAAGAUGUCACCAGCCAUCUUGAAUUGCGGAGUUAGAGCAUUCAAUCUGAAAGCUAUGGUAUUUUAAAAAAAAUUUGUUUCAGUCCUGGAUUGUGAUAAUAAUUUUCAGUAUUUGUUUUCUUAUUCUGAGAAGCAGAAAGCUCUGCCUUCAUUAACACCACAAAAGAAGAACAAAUGUCUGUGAGAAGAUGGGCACGGAAAAGGAGAAUUUACUGAGGAUAAUCAAGUAACUAUUUUGAUGGGAAAAAAACCCCACAAAAAAUCAGUUCACCAUUCCUGUUAAACCUCUGAACAUGGGAUUUAAACCUUAUUGAUCUGUCUUGAAUCAGCUUGAAUUCCUUUAUUUUUUUUUAUAUUGAGCUUCAGUGGCCUUAGCAACUAAAAACCCUAGCCCGUAAUGGAGAAAUUGAGGAAUAUUAUUGCAACAUAACAUGUAGCAGAGUAAAAUCUAUAAAAAUCUCUCUGUCUGCAAAAUUGUAACUUGAUUAUCAACUUUUUAGUCUGGUAGUUCAGAGCAGAGGUCUACAGCAUAUCUCUUGUCAAAUGAUACCAGAAUAUUCUGCUCCAUCCUCAUUAUGACAAUCUAAACAAGCCUUGGUAGCAUGCUGAAGAGGACAAUCUGAUAUCAAAAUAGAGGUACUGAAAAAAUUAACUGGAAAAUACAUGAGUACAAAUACCAUAGCAAACAUCUUCCCCACUACCUGUAGAAAAUCUCAGAGAGUAAAUAUAAAAUGCCUCACUAUGGUAGAGAUGAAGCUGAUAUCAGCUUAUGCAUUAGAAAUAUUAAAGGUUCUGAUGAAAUCGUUAUUUUAAAUUCACUGGAUGUUUUUGGAGUUAUUAUCAUCUGAACUAAGCUUCAAUAAAAUUUAUUUUGCAUUAAACAGAGAUUGGAUUCAAAAAAAUUAUGCUUAGUGUGAUACUUGUAUUGGUAAGAUAGAGUAAUAUCCCUUUGGGACACUGAAAACAUACAUCACAGUGGAUAUAUUUAAGCCUGUGCAUGGGAAGUAAGCUGGAAUAGUCUAAAUUGAGGAAUAAUGUCAAGUCUAAAGAUCAUGCACUGAGAAAUGAGUAAAUUGUGGCUCUAUCAGGGAUUAUUAAUACCUCCCCUGGCUAAAAUCUUAAUCACACAAAUCCCAGGAAAAAAAAUCUUAUACAUUCAUAAGUUUUUGGCAGGUGAAUGAGACAAAUGGGGAUCAAAAAUCCUACAGCACUGAGAUGGAUGGUGAAGACCUUCUUCUGAUUAUUUCUGUAGAGUUAGAAAAGGAUCAGAAUAACCCAUGCUUUUUGGUGGUUUCUGCAAGAGCAGACAAUAAAAAUGGUUCUUGUACAGUUCUCAUGUAUUGCUUUGAUAUGAAGACUAAGACAACUUCUUCUGUGGAGAGCUAUAGUUAUCUUUGCAUUGGGCUUAUUUGAAACUAAACCUGAAAAAUGCCAAUACUGUCUUACAGAGAAUGUGUAUGUUAGCUCAGAUAAAGUGAAAUGGUUCUAAGGUGUACAGUCAUGUGGAAAACCUCUUAAGUGAGGAUGUUUAGUGAUUCUGCAGCUUUAAAAGACAGAAAAAUUCUGAAGCUGGAUAAAACUUGUGAUGUACUCUAUACAAUAAUGAUAAAUUUUGUACUAUAUGGAUUAAAAAUCAGUCAAUUUUUUUUCAUAGGAGCCUUUGCACAAACUCUCAGGUGGAGAAGAGUUCACUGUACUUCUGUCACCAGAACCAGGAAUCAACUUGGGUAGCUGGUACUGUAGGGAAAAAAAGUUGCCGGGUGGACCUACAAUAAAGAAAAAACAUACAGAAUUUUUCUCCUCAAAUAAGCCUAA
Molecule: long non-coding RNA, 3447 nt
Organism: Corvus hawaiiensis (hawaiian crow)
Lineage: Eukaryota; Metazoa; Chordata; Aves; Passeriformes; Corvidae
Exons: 2
Source: RefSeq, a predicted model, not a curated record